Molecule: ribosomal RNA, 492 nt
Filed under: uncultured bacterium
Lineage: Bacteria
Description: partial 16S ribosomal RNA
Rfam family: Bacterial small subunit ribosomal RNA
Source: RNAcentral
AUUGAACGCUGGCGGCAUGCUUUACACAUGCAAGUCGAACGGUAACAGGCCUUCGGGUGCUGACGAGUGGCGCACGGGUGAGUAAUGCAUCGGAACGUACCCAGAGGUGGGGGAUAACGCAGCGAAAGCUGUGCUAAUACCGCAUGUGAUCUGAGGAUGAAAGCGGGGGACCGAGCAGCAAUGUUUGGCCUCGCGCCUUUGGAGCGGCCGAUGUCGGAUUAGCUAGUUGGUGGGGUAAAGGCCUACCAAGGCGACGAUCCGUAGCUGGUCUGAGAGGACGACCAGCCACACUGGGACUGAGACACGGCCCAGACUCCUACGGGAGGCAGCAGUGGGGAAUUUUGGACAAAGGGCGCAGGCCUGAUCCAGCAAUGCCGCGUGCGGGAAGAAGGCCUUCGGGUUGUAAACCGCUUUUGGCAGGAACGAAACGGUGUCCGCUAAUACCGGGCGCUAAUGACGGUACCUGCAGAAUAAGCACCGGCUAACUACGUG